AGUGAACGCUGGCGGUAGGCCUAACACAUGCAAGUCGAACGGCAGCACAGUAAGAGCUUGCUCUUACGGGUGGCGAGUGGCGGACGGGUGAGGAAUACAUCGGAAUCUACUUUUUCGUGGGGGAUAACGUAGGGAAACUUACGCUAAUACCGCAUACGACCUACGGGUGAAAGCAGGGGAUCUUCGGACCUUGCGCGAUUGAAUGAGCCGAUGUCGGAUUAGCUAGUUGGCGGGGUAAGGGCCCACCAAGGCGACGAUCCGUAGCUGGUCUGAGAGGAUGAUCAGCCACACUGGAACUGAGACACGGUCCAGACUCCUACGGGAGGCAGCAGUGGGGAAUAUUGGACAAUGGGCGCAAGCCUGAUCCAGCCAUACCGCGUGGGUGAAGAAGGCCUUCGGGUUGUAAAGCCCUUUUGUUGGGAAAGAAAAGCAGCAGGUUAAUACCCCGCUGUUCUGACGGUACCCAAAGAAUAAGCACCGGUUAACUUCGUG
Molecule: ribosomal RNA, 492 nt
Filed under: uncultured bacterium
Lineage: Bacteria
Description: partial 16S ribosomal RNA
Rfam family: Bacterial small subunit ribosomal RNA
Source: RNAcentral